GAAAAGCUAAGUUUGGGGUAAAAGACCCCAAAAGCUCUCAAAGCCCUAGAAAGUGCAAAAACAAAAGAAAAAGAAAAAUUAAUGAAUCGAGAAAAAGAAAGAAAAAUAAAAAUCAAAUACUCGACGACUCAAAAGAAAGAAGCACGGAAAAGGGCAGUCGGUAAAAAUUCAAGAAAUAAGAAAAGAAAACCGAGGAAAUAAAAGAAACAAACACAGGAUAAAACA
RNAcentral lists this long non-coding RNA (225 nucleotides) under Lathyrus oleraceus (garden pea). RNAcentral describes it as "Pisum sativum (pea) long non-coding RNA (PSAT_LNC005310)". Lineage: Eukaryota; Viridiplantae; Streptophyta; Magnoliopsida; Fabales; Fabaceae. The record is from RNAcentral.